AGUGAACGCUGGCGGUAGGCCUAACACAUGCAAGUCGAACGGGAGCACAGUAAGAGCUUGCUCUUACGGGUGGCGAGUGGCGGACGGUUGAGGAAUACAUCGGAAUCUACUUUUUCGUGGGGGAUAACGUAGGGAAACGUACGCUAAUACCGCAUACGACCUACGGGUGAAAGCAGGGGAUCUUCGGACCUUUCGCGAUUGAAUGAGCCGAUGUAGGCUUAGCUUGAUGGCGGGGUAAAGGCCCAGCAAGGCGACGAUCCGUAGCUGGUCUGACAGGAUGAUCAGACACCUUGUAACUGAGACACGGUCCCGACUCCUGCGGGAGGCAGCAGUGGGGAAUAUUGGACGAUGGGGGCAAGCCUGAUACAGCCAUACCGCGUGGGUGAAGAAGGCCUUCGGGUUGUAAAGCCCUUUUGUUGGGAAAGAAAAGCAGCAGUUUAAUACCCCGCUGUUCUGACGGUACCCAAAGAAUAAGCACCGGCUAACUUCGUG
This 492-nucleotide ribosomal RNA is filed under the name uncultured bacterium. Its description in RNAcentral is "partial 16S ribosomal RNA". It matches the Rfam family "Bacterial small subunit ribosomal RNA", at positions 29 to 507 of the family's 1533-position model. The record is from RNAcentral.